This 497-nucleotide ribosomal RNA is filed under the name uncultured bacterium. RNAcentral's name for it is "partial 16S ribosomal RNA". It matches the Rfam family "Bacterial small subunit ribosomal RNA", at positions 28 to 507 of the family's 1533-position model. The record is from RNAcentral.
GACGAACGCUGGCGGCGUGCCUAAUACAUGCAAGUAGAACGCUGAAGAGAGGAGCUUGCUCUUCUUGGGUGAGUUGCGAACGGGUGAGUAACGCGUAGGUAACCUGCCUGGUAGCGGGGGAUAACUAUGGGAAACGAUAGCUAAUACCGCAUAAAAUUGAUUAUUGCAUGAUAAUUAAUUGAAAGAUGCAACUGCAUCACUACCAGAUGGACCUGCGUUGUAUUUGCUAGUUGGGUAAGUAACGGCGCACCAAAGCGAAGAUACAAUGCCGACCCGAGAGGGUGAUCGGGCACACUGGGAAUGAGACACGGCCCAGACUCCUACGGGAGGCAGCAGAAGGGAAUCUUCGGCAAUGGGGGGAACCCUGACCGAGCAACGCCGCGUGAGUGAAGAAGGGUUUCGGAUCGUAAAGCUCUGUUGUAAGAGAAGAACGGGUGUGAGAGUGGAAAGUUCACACUGUGACGGUAUCUUACCAGAAAGGGACGGCUAACUACGUG